Molecule: transfer RNA, 85 nt
Filed under: bacterium
Lineage: Bacteria
Description: tRNA-Leu
Rfam family: tRNA
About the family: Transfer RNA (tRNA) molecules are approximately 80 nucleotides in length. Their secondary structure includes four short double-helical elements and three loops (D, anti-codon, and T loops).
Source: RNAcentral
GCGGAUAUGGCGAAAUUGGCAGACGCCCUAGACUUAGGAUCUAGUGCCGUGAGGCGUGCAGGUUCAAGUCCUGUUAUCCGCACCA